Molecule: ribosomal RNA, 253 nt
Filed under: uncultured bacterium
Lineage: Bacteria
Description: partial 16S ribosomal RNA
Rfam family: Bacterial small subunit ribosomal RNA
Source: RNAcentral
GCAAGUCGAGGGGCAGCAUUUCCAGCUUGCUGGAAGAUGGCGACCGGCGCACGGGUGAGUAACGCGUAUGCAACCUGCCUUGUACUGGGGGAUAGCCCAGAGAAAUCUGGAUUAAUACCGCAUAAUAUAUUUGAAUCGCAUGGUUUAAAUAUUAAAACUCCGGUGGUAUAAGAUGGGCAUGCGUAGCAUUAGUUAGUUGGUGAGGUAACGGCUCACCAAGACAAUGAUGCUUAGGGGGUCUGAGAGGAUAGUC